This is a non-coding RNA of Camellia sinensis, 919 nucleotides long. NCBI's taxonomy places the organism in Eukaryota, Viridiplantae, Streptophyta, Magnoliopsida, Ericales, Theaceae. The record is from RefSeq and is a predicted model, not a curated record.
AAAUGAAGUACUAAAGCAUAUGAAAAAUUAUCUUUAAAAACUUACAAAUUGGACAAAAAGGUCAAUAUGCAUUCAUUAGAAACCCAAAUAUUCAACUCAUAAGAAAUUGGAAAGAAAAUUCAAAAUUUAAUAUAACAGAAGGAUUAAUGAGAUUUCAUUGCAAAUAUAAAAAUAACACAAAAGGUUUUUGUUUUUCAAGUGGGCCCAACUUUUUGAUCGCUAGUUCGUUUGGUUACCGGUUUGCAAUCAAUGACAUUCUUUAGGACUUGUUUGGACGAGUAGCUUAAACAUACUUGUUAUGAGGUAUAUGUUCAUAAUUUUGGGUCUCAACCCAAAUCCAAAUGGUCUAUGUGUGUAAGCUCUUUGUUGCUUUCAUCUGAAUUAGAUCCAUGAUAGUUCAAUUUUUUGUAGCGAAGGGAGUGUGGGAAUCAUUUUUGCUUGCGGAUUUAUUUGGAUUUGGGUUUGUUAAACAAGUGCGGGCAAUGGCAAUUGACAUUGCGAAAUGCUGUUAAUAGGGCAAAAGGUCAAAGAGAAGAGAGCAAAAACUCCUGCACUAGUUCCUGAAGAUGCAGAUCCUAUUUGGUCAGUAGGUUCCAAAACCAUUCUAUCCGAAAGGACAUGAAUGCAACAGAGAAUUGGCAGGAUCAGGAAUGGAAUCCACAAUCGUCUGGGAGAUCCAAGGAUUCACCCAGUCUUGCUCUUGGGAGCAUUGAUGUCUUUUGGUAGCAUCUGGCUGUGAAGGAGCCAAUCAACUCAUCCAAGUCGAUCAAAUAAUCAAACUCAACCGGGCAAAAAAGUAAGUGAUGGCAUAUUGCGCUCCUGGAAGCAUUGUUAUUGUUUGUUUUCCAUCUAUUAUUAUCUUUAUCUCCAAUGUGAUUUCAUUGAGCAACAAACAAUAUAUGUGCAUUUUUCUUUGUCA